UGAGGUAGCCGGGUGGUCGCAUGCCUACGGGCAUGAGGAAAGUCCGAGCACCACAGGGCAGGGUGCCAGCUAACGGCUGGUGGAGGCGACUCCAAGGCAAGUGCAACAGAGAGAUACCGCCGGGCUUGUCCCGGCAAGGGUGGAAAGGUGUGGUAAGAGCGCACCGGCGGCCUGGCAACUUGACCGUCAUGUAAACCCCACCUGGUGCAAGAUAGAUGAGGGCGCAUGGGGCGGCCC
RNAcentral lists this RNase P RNA (237 nucleotides) under Clostridiales bacterium. RNAcentral's name for it is "partial RNase P RNA component class A". It matches the Rfam family "Bacterial RNase P class A", at positions 1 to 256 of the family's 367-position model. From Rfam's summary of the family: Ribonuclease P (RNase P) is a ubiquitous endoribonuclease, found in archaea, bacteria and eukarya as well as chloroplasts and mitochondria. Its best characterised activity is the generation of mature 5'-ends of tRNAs by cleaving the 5'-leader elements of precursor-tRNAs. Lineage: Bacteria; Bacillati; Bacillota; Clostridia; Eubacteriales. The record is from RNAcentral.